Molecule: ribosomal RNA, 153 nt
Filed under: uncultured eukaryote
Lineage: Eukaryota
Description: partial small subunit ribosomal RNA
Rfam family: Eukaryotic small subunit ribosomal RNA
Source: RNAcentral
CCCUGCCAUUUGUACACACCGCCCGUCGCUCCUACCGAUUGAAUGUUCCGGUGAACACUUUGGAAUCAUGGCAGUGGUUCUGGGGAUUCUCAGACCCUGUCAUUGGUGAAGUUGUGUAAGCCUUAACAUUUAGAGGAAGGAAAAGUCGUAACA